RNAcentral lists this ribosomal RNA (460 nucleotides) under uncultured bacterium. Its description in RNAcentral is "partial 16S ribosomal RNA". It matches the Rfam family "Bacterial small subunit ribosomal RNA", at positions 338 to 795 of the family's 1533-position model. The record is from RNAcentral.
CCUACGGGAGGCAGCAGUGAGGAAUAUUGGUCAAUGGGCGGGAGCCUGAACCAGCCAAGUCGCGUGAGGGAAGACGGUCCUACGGAUUGUAAACCUCUUUUGCCGGGGAGCAACGGGGUCCUUGCGAGGGCCCGAUGAGAGUACCCGGAGAAAAAGCAUCGGCAAACUCCGUGCCAGCAGCCGCGGUAAUACGGGGGAUGCGAGCGUUAUCCGGAUUGAUGGGUUUAAAGGGGUGCGUAGGCGGGCUGUUAAGUCAGCGGUAAAAUGUCGGGGCUCAACCCCGGCCUGCCGUUGAAACUGGCGGCCUCGAGUGGACGAGAGGUAUGCGGAAUGCGUGGUGUAGCGGUGAAAUGCAUAGAUAUCACGCAGAACUCCGAUUGCGAAGGCAGCAUACCGGCGCCCGACUGACGCUGAGGCACGAAAGCGUGGGUAUCGAACAGGAUUAGAUACCCUAGUAGUC